GAACGCUGGCGGCGUGCUUAACGCAUGCAAGUCGAACGGAAAGGCCCUGCUUUUGUGGGGUGCUCGAGUGGCGAACGGGUGAGUAACACGUGAGUAACCUGCCCUUGACUUUGGGAUAACUUCAGGAAACUGGGGCUAAUACCGGAUAGGAGCUCCUGCUGCAUGGUGGGGGUUGGAAAGUUUCGGCGGUUGGGGAUGGACUCGCGGCUUAUCAGCUUGUUGGUGGGGUAGUGGCUUACCAAGGCUUUGACGGGUAGCCGGCCUGAGAGGGUGACCGGCCACAUUGGGACUGAGAUACGGCCCAGACUCCUACGGGAGGCAGCAGUGGGGAAUAUUGCACAAUGGGCGGAAGCCUGAUGCAGCAACGCCGCGUGCGGGAUGACGGCCUUCGGGUUGUAAACCGCUUUCGCCUGUGACGAAGCGUGAGUGACGGUAAUGGGUAAAGAAGCACCGGCUAACUACGUG
This 465-nucleotide ribosomal RNA is filed under the name uncultured bacterium. RNAcentral's name for it is "partial 16S ribosomal RNA". It matches the Rfam family "Bacterial small subunit ribosomal RNA", at positions 31 to 507 of the family's 1533-position model. The record is from RNAcentral.